GCCCUGUGCCCCAGUCCUACCGGCUGGUCUCCUCGCCGCGCUCCCCGCACGGCGCCUUUCAAGCUCAAACCUCUCUCCAGAUCUCAAGCUCCCAGUGCUGCCAGCAAAUCCCAACACAGAAUCAGACAACCAAGAACCAGAGGUCGACAGUGCAGACCAAAAAUGUCGCCUGCCAUUUCAGUAAACAAAGACUGUUGCCUGCCAAUCCGGGACCUGCCGCUGAUCAGCCUCCGGGCCCUGAAGGGAGUUCUGAAGGGAGCAAAACAGGAUGCUGGUGGUUCAGAUGCAUAUCCAUCCGACUUCAGUGAGCCCAGAUUCUUGCUUCUUGUCACACUU
Molecule: long non-coding RNA, 336 nt
Organism: Vicugna pacos (alpaca)
Lineage: Eukaryota; Metazoa; Chordata; Mammalia; Artiodactyla; Camelidae
Source: RefSeq, a predicted model, not a curated record